CUACGUGCCAGCAGCCGCGGUAAUACGGAAGGUCCGGGCGUUAUCCGGAUUUAUUGGGUUUAAAGGGAGCGUAGGCUGGAGAUUAAGUGUGUUGUGAAAUGUAGACGCUCAACGUCUGACUUGCAGCGCAUACUGGUUUCCUUGAGUACGCACAACGUUGGCGGAAUUCGUCGUGUAGCGGUGAAAUGCUUAGAUAUGACGAAGAACUCCGAUUGCGAAGGCAGCUGACGGGAGUGCAACUGACGCUGAAGCUCGAAGGUGCGGGUAUCGAACAGGAUUAGAUACCCUGGUAGUCCGCACAGUAAACGAUGGAUGCCCGCUGUUGGUACCUGGUAUCAGCGGCUAAGCGAAAGCAUUAAGCAUCCCACCUGGGGAGUACGCCGGCAACGGUGAAACUCAAAGGAAUUGACGGGGGCCCGCACAAGCGGAGGAACAUGUGGUUUAAUUCGAUGAUACGCGAGGAACCUUACCCGGGCUUGAAUUGCAGAGGAAGGAUUUAGAGAUA
Molecule: ribosomal RNA, 505 nt
Filed under: uncultured bacterium
Lineage: Bacteria
Description: bacterial SSU rRNA
Rfam family: Bacterial small subunit ribosomal RNA
Source: RNAcentral